UACGUAGGGGGCGAGCGUUGUCCGGAUUUAUUGGGCGUAAAGAGCUCGUAGGCGGUUUGGUAAGUCGGGUGUGAAAUCUCCACGCUCAACGUGGAGGGGCCACUCGAUACUGCCAUGACUCGAGUCCGGUAGAGGAGUGUGGAAUUCCCGGUGUAGCGGUGAAAUGCGCAGAUAUCGUAAGGAAGACCAGUGGCGAAGGCGGGUCUCUGGACAGUUCCUGACGCUGAGGCACGAAGGUCAGGGGAGCAAACGGG
Molecule: ribosomal RNA, 254 nt
Filed under: uncultured bacterium
Lineage: Bacteria
Description: partial 16S ribosomal RNA
Rfam family: Bacterial small subunit ribosomal RNA
Source: RNAcentral